This 303-nucleotide ribosomal RNA is filed under the name uncultured bacterium. RNAcentral's name for it is "partial 16S ribosomal RNA". It matches the Rfam family "Bacterial small subunit ribosomal RNA", at positions 507 to 807 of the family's 1533-position model. The record is from RNAcentral.
AGCAGUAGCCGCGGUAAUACGGAGGGUGCAAGCGUUAAUCGGAAUUACUGGGCGUAAAGCGCACGCAGGCGGUCUGUCAAGUCAGAUGUGAAAUCCCCGGGCUUAACCUGGGAACUGCAUUUGAAACUGGCAGGCUAGAGUCUUGUAGAGGGGGGUAGAAUUCCAGGUGUAGCGGUGAAAUGCGUAGAGAUCUGGAGGAAUACCGGUGGCGAAGGCGGCCCCCUGGACAAAGACUGACGCUCAGGUGCGAAAGCGUGGGGAGCAAACAGGAUUAGAUACCCCUGUAGUCCCUGUCUCUUAUAC